GAUGAACGCUGGCGGCGUGCCUAAUACAUGCAAGUCGAGCGAACGGACGAGAAGCUUACUUCUCUGAUGUUAGCGGCGGACGGGUGAGUAACACGUGGAUAACCUACCUAUAAGACUGGGAUAACUUCGGGAAACCGGAGCUAAUACCGGAUAAUAUUUUGAACCGCAUGGUUCAAAAGUGAAAGACGGUCUUGCUGUCACUUAUAGAUGGAUCCGCGCUGCAUUAGCUAGUUGGUAAGGUAACGGCUUACCAAGGCAACGAUGCAUAGCCGACCUGAGAGGGUGAUCGGCCACACUGGAACUGAGACACGGUCCAGACUCCUACGGGAGGCAGCAGUAGGGAAUCUUCCGCAAUGGGCGAAAGCCUGACGGAGCAACGCCGCGUGAGUGAUGAAGGUCUUCGGAUCGUAAAACUCUGUUAUUAGGGAAGAACAUAUGUGUAAGUUACUGUGCACAUCUUGACGGUACCUAAUCAGAAAGCCACGGCUAACUACGUG
RNAcentral lists this ribosomal RNA (497 nucleotides) under uncultured bacterium. Its description in RNAcentral is "partial 16S ribosomal RNA". It matches the Rfam family "Bacterial small subunit ribosomal RNA", at positions 28 to 507 of the family's 1533-position model. The record is from RNAcentral.